This is a long non-coding RNA of Ooceraea biroi (clonal raider ant), 294 nucleotides long. RefSeq lists it as uncharacterized. The record is from RefSeq and is a predicted model, not a curated record. Lineage: Eukaryota; Metazoa; Arthropoda; Insecta; Hymenoptera; Formicidae.
GAAAGAACAGUAGGCUCACUCUGCGAAAACGCGUACUAAUAAUUGUCUCUCGCGCAUGACCGAAUCGCACAACCAACAACAUGGCGGCUCUAAACAUAUGUUUGCACAAUGUGCAUCAAUAGACUCAAAGAAAAAAGAAGAAGUGGACAUGGUAUUUAGAUAUCUGUUUUUAUUAACUGAAGUUUGUACUUUAUAACUGAACUAGCUGCUAGUUUAGAAUUUAUUUUUCUCCUUCCAUAUUUGAAAAAAACAGAUAAACUUUGAAUUAGUGUAACCAGUUCAACUAUAAAAAAA